UAAGAACGGCCAUGCACCACCACCCACAGAAUCAAGAAAGAGCUAUCAAUCUGUCAAUCCUUACUAUGUCUGGACCUGGUGAGUUUCCCCGUGUUGAGUCAAAUUAAGCCGCAGGCUCCACUCCUGGUGGUGCCCUUCCAUCAAUUCCUUUAAGUUUCAGUCUUGCGACCAUACUCCCCCUGGAACUCAAAGACUUUGAUUUCUCAAAAAAUGCCGAAGGAAUCAACAGGCAACCGCCUCCAAUUUCUUGGUAGCAUAGUUUAUGGUUAAGACUAGGACGGUAUCUAAUCGUCUUCGAUCCCCUAACUUUCGUUCUUGAUUAAAGAAGACAUCCUUGGCAAAUGCAUUCGCAUUAGUUUGUCUUUAACAAAUCCAAGAAUUUCACCUCUGACAGUUAAAUACAAAUGCCCCCAACCAUCCCCAUCAAUC
This 429-nucleotide ribosomal RNA is filed under the name uncultured dinoflagellate. Its description in RNAcentral is "partial 18S rRNA". Lineage: Eukaryota; Dinophyceae. The record is from RNAcentral.